CCAAGUGUAUGCUAACCCCCUCCCACCCCACCACACACACACAAGGGAUGGAGGGAGAUUUUUAUCGGUUUGAGUUGAAUAUAUAAGCAAUUUUCACUAAAGUAUGGAAUAAAAAUGAGAGAUACUAAUAAUCAGGAUGAUUUCACAAUCCAUGUGAACUGUAUAUUUUUUUUGGGGACAUCCCAUUUAAAUUAGCCAUUUGGUAAUUGGAAGUUGCAAUACUUGAAGUCGGAGCUUCAAAACUUGAUCAAUCUAUAACCUUUGCUAAUUGCAAGUUGCAAUACUUGUAGUCUGACUUCAAAACUUGAUCAAUCUAUAGCCUGCCUGAACUACUCAGAAGAAAAGUGGAAAGGAAAUAUAAAAUUUCUUGCAUUUGUUUAUCAAAGAAACAAAUUGUGAACUCUUAAAUCUAUUAACUUCCAGAAGAUGGUGGUUUCACUUGUCUUUGUGCCAUUUGAACUAAAUUUUAUGUCCUUUCGCCCAUCUUAUUUAUCGUGUUAACCAUUACACUGUAUAACGAAACACUGUGUGUUUAACAGGUCACGGGAGAACCAAGUUCUGGCGCCUCUCAUCCUAUACCUAAGGCAGUUGGAGUGGAUGAUUCCAAGCAGGAUUAACUUUGGAAGAAUUGGAAAAAGCAAAUAUCGGUUAUGUCUUCCUUGAGACUAUGCAGGUUUAUCUAGCCAUUGGCAAAAUGAUGUGUGCUACCUAUAUCAUCUUGGUUAAUUUAGUUUGUGGAGAUUUGAAUAAUGUAAACUGAACCUUCUUACAUUUUUAUCGUUAACUUGUAAAUCUCUGUUAGAAGCACACAUGACAUCUGAUUGUGUCUCCAACUUUGUAAUCGCUCUUCAGCCAUGUUAUGUAUUUGGAAGUGUCGAAUUAUGACUUAAUAGAUGUCAGUAGCGCAGACAAGAGUGGGUUGCUCUAGUGGUAAUUACCCUCCACUUCCAACCAAGAGGUUGUGAGUUCGAGUCACUCCAAGAGCAAGGUGGGGAGUUCUUGGAGGGAGGGAUGCCGAGGGUCUAUCGGAAACAGCCUCUUCCCCGGGGUAAAGUCUGCGUACACACUAUCCUCCCCAAACCCCACUAGUGGGAUUAUACUGGAUUGUUGUUGAUAUCUUAAUGCCUCGUGUCCCCUGUGUUGUUCUUGACUCUUUGCAGUCUAUGACCACACCACUGUAUGAGAUUGUAAGAGGAGUAAAUUGAACCGACUUUAGCUUCCCUAGUACCUACUCUGUAAUUGGCGGAAUCUUUCUUCUUCCUCCAGAAAGAGUAAAUCCUUUACACCGAUAUGUCGUACUCCUUUGCAGUGGCGUAGCCACUUGAAAAGUAUAUACUGUAUAUAUAGUAAUUUUUAUUGCGUUUAUAUGUCAAAAAAUAUUGUUAUGUGUAUAUUAAAUUUGGCGAAUUACUAGCUUAGCCAUUGCUCCUUUAACCAGGUUGCCCGACAGAUUAUGUGCAAGAUGGGUCGGAAACUACUUAAUCAAAAGAGAAUAAAGUGUCAGCUUUCAAGCAUUAGCUAAAUGGUAGUUAAUAUUUAUUUUCGUUUGUAUUUGAUAUCUUUUUCUUGCUUAACUGGCAAAUGAAGAUCUACCAUAACGAUUUUGUGGGAUCCUUCACAACUGGAAUGCUUUUAUCUGCAGUUUUGGGGGCCAUUUUGUUGAAUAUGAUGUAUAUUUCGUUUUUUCUUGGAUAUGUCUUUUAAAGUUGUGGACAUGUGGUUUUUAUUCAAUUGAUUCAAUGACAUUCAACUUAGAAAAAUGUUUGCUUUUGUCAAAAGGUGAAAGGUAUAGGCUCGAGUCCUCUUUAUCAAUUUUGUUUGCCAAGUCUAUGACAAAUUUUUACUAGGAUAGGUUUUACUUUAGGCCAUAUGAGUUGUGAGUUUGAAAAAAGAGGCACUUACACCUGCCCACAAAGCCCAAAAAAAAAAGGUUCAUUAAUGUUACUGCAUUUAAAUUUUAGAAAUGGUUAUUAUUUGUAGAAGUAUUUUACCUGAUUUUACACCGUUCAAAUAAAAUAGUGUAGAGUUGUAAAAGUUAAAAUAUCAUGGUAUAGUCAGUUUUUACAUUGGUCAAUAAAAAAUAGCCAUCGUUUAUCAAGUCAAUGAAAAGUACCCAUUAUUUUGCUGCAUAGGGACCGGUCGAGUAUAAUAUAUGGGAGUUCUGGUGCAUUUGUGUACGAACUCCAACAUAUUAUACUGGAUCGGUAUACUUUGCUAACUCCUGUAAAAUUUUCGGGAGACUGGAGCACCAGUGCUCCAAACUCCAGUAUAUUAUACUGGACAAUUAUACUCUUUGCUAACUCCUGUAAAAUUUGCGGGAGACUGGAGCACCGGUGCUCCAAACUCUAGUAUAUUAUACCGGACAAUUGUAUUUGCUGGAACUCCAGUAAAAUUUGUGGGAGUUCCAGCAUAAAACUCCUGUAAAAUCUGCGGGAGCUCCAGCAUAGUUAUCCUGGAAUUCCCGUAAAAUUUACCGGAGUUCAACAUACUUAUGCUGGAACUCCCGUAAAAUUUAUGGGCGUAAUUUUUUGGAUUUUGAACAAUGUUUUCGCUCAGAUUGAAAGUGGCUAAAUUUCGACGACUUUUGAUACUUGACUAUUUUUCAACGACCAAUGGUAAAUCUGGUUAUUUUUAAAUUUCUCGCGUUGUAAAAGCAUAAGAACUAUAUAGAACCAUCUUUAAAAAGUUUCAAAUAAAAUAGUUUGGUAGAUAAGUUUUUUCAAUCAAGUUGGCACCUGGGGUGCCUUGGCGUAACUGGUAAAUUGCUGUCAUGUGACUAGGAGAUUACGGAUUCGUGUCGUAGAAACAGCCUCUAGCAUAAAUGCAGGGCAAGAUUGCAUACAAUAAAUUCUUAUGGUCUGGUCUUUUUCUAAACCCUACGCAUAACGAAAGCUUAGAACAUCGAACUACACUUUAAGUUGGCGCCAUUACACUAUAUGUAAGUAGUGGUGGCUGGUGCUUUCUAGGUUUGCAAAAUAAUUAUAUUACGGUAAUAUGGUGGCCUUAAAUAGUGGCAGCCAUGUGUAUUCACAAAGUUGUUCAAAAAUUGGAUUUUUAACUAAAUAAUAAUUGAAUACAUCAUGGGUUGGUGAGCUAUUAGUCAACUGUUUCAGUGUAUAAGAUCUUGGUUGAAAUUUAGGUGAAUGUUUAUUGAAAAGUCUUAAAAGAAAGUUCUGCAUAAUUGCUACUAAAACCAAAGCUAGCCACCUUAUAAAUUAAUAUACUAUUUUAAUGUGUUAAAUUUUUUGCUGAAAACCAAGUUAUUGUUUUCAACACUGGUGAAGUGAUGGGGUAAUCAAUCAGAAUGAAGAAGCCAGGAAUUUUCCAAGUAAUUUGUUUAUUCUUAUUUAGAUGAAAGUAGAUGAAUAAUAACCGAGAGUUGUGUGGUGGAAUAGAUAAGAUCCCUCCGUCCUCAAUCAAAAGUUUCGGCUUUUAGUCCUAAGGAUGAAGGGGAGUGCUUUCCUUUUAAAUGGCCUUACGCAUCGCAAAUUCAGAUUAGUCGGAGCCCUGAAAUAGAUACCGAACGUCCAAUAGAAAACCAAAUAAAAUAAAAUAAAAUGUAUAAGCUUUGAUUUGGUAUUUUCUUUCAUUAUUUUUUCCUCUUACUUAGCAAGUGAGCAGUAUUUCAAUGUGCUUCUAUUUAUUUCCACUCAUAAUUAAUGGUGAUGCUCAAAAUUGUUCCAAAACAAAAAUUUCAACAGAACAUUUGGAAUUUUUUAAGAAAUGCAUGUCGGAGAAGCUCAAAUGAAAAUGUAUAUGGAAAAAGUUUUCUAAAAAUCAAACGUGGUUGGAUAAUUGCAGUUUCUAUUACGUUUAUUAAUAGUAACUUUCUAUUAGACCAAAGUUAAGUAAUUACGGAGGUCCACAAUUACGAUAUAAGGUUAGUAGACGGUUGAAUCGAGGAUAUAUUGAAAAUAAUUUCUCUGCCUCACAUAAGCAGUAACGGGGAUGGCAAUUUCACCAAAAAGAUUCAAAAUAUUAAAAAAUAAACACACGAAAAAGCUAAGUUGAUUCAACAUCUAUUAUUUAUGCAUAUAAAAUAAUUUUAACCUUAUAUAUACAAUAUAAUUCUACGACGAAGGGGGUUCAAAUGAACUCUUUCUACUACCCUAGCUUCGCCUUUGCAUAUAAGGUAGGGGUGAGAUCUGCGUAUAUAUUUUGUCCACCUUAUACUUUAUUUGUUAUUGUUGUUGUAAAACUUAAUCGAUCAAUAUAAAAUUCUCUAUAUAUUCAUAUCUUAGUUUCGAUAACUAAAUUUCUCCAUAUAUUUCUGAUAUAUAAAUUACACACAUAUUAGUUUAUCACCUUAUAGAAUGUUGUCAUUAUUAUUAUUAUUAUUAUUAUUAUUAUUAUUAUUAUUAUUAUUAUUAUUAUUAUUAUUAUUAUUAUUAUUAUUAUAUUAUGGGGGGCUUUAAAAAGGUGCGAGCUGAAAAUGUGGUCAAUUCAGAAAACCAGUUUUAGUUCAUUCACUUAUACUGUGGUCCUCUAAAGUUGGUGAUCUUAAAAGAAAGUUGCUACAAGUUGCGGCUUAUAUUAUAUUAAAGACGAAUUCCGAAUUUUAAAUAAAUAUUUACUAAAAGAAUAUGCUUUCAUUCAUGAAAAUAUAUAUGCACAUGUCCUUAAAAUAUAUCAUACUAGGAAAUAAUUUCAUAUAUGUUAUUUUUUAAAAUUAUUUGAAACAUAAAUUCACAAUCUCCAUCUAUUAAUUAUUACUCUUGGUUCCCCAAUUUUCUAUUUUUAGUCAAUCCCAAUUAUUCACAACUUCAAAAAUAUCAAGCAAAUUGCUUAGAUAAUUAUGAUGGCUAUAUCCAAAGUGGAUUAACAUUUUGAAAAUAAAAUAUUUUUUUUCUCCUGCGGAUCUCCCCCCUCCCCCCAACCCNNNNNNNNNNNNNNNNNNNNNNNNNNNNNNNNNNNNNNNNNNNNNNNNNNNNNNNNNNNNNNNNNNNNNNNNNNNNNNNNNNNNNNNNNNNNNNNNNNNNNNNNNNNNNNNNNNNNNNNNNNNNNNNNNNNNNNNNNNNNNNNNNNNNNNNNNNNNNNNNNNNNNNNNNNNNNNNNNNNNNNNNNNNNNNNNNNNNNNNNNNNNNNNNNUCCUGGAGAGACUCGAACUCACAAGCUCUCGGUUGGAAGUGGGGGUUGCUUACCAUCAAACCAACCCCUCUUGUCUUAUAAACUACAAAUAUUGAUUAGAAAAAAGCUAAACAGUAAAAUAAUCCGGCUAUUCAUAUAAAGAUUCAAUUUUUGUGAGUGGUUAGUGUCCUCUGUUUUAUGUUUUUAUAGCGUUUCUACCCCAAAAAAA
Molecule: long non-coding RNA, 5296 nt
Filed under: Nicotiana benthamiana
Lineage: Eukaryota; Viridiplantae; Streptophyta; Magnoliopsida; Solanales; Solanaceae
Description: long non-coding RNA (NBEN_LNC041273)
Source: RNAcentral